CUACGGGCGGCUGCAGUGGGGAAUAUUGCACAAUGGAGGAAACUCUGAUGCAGCAACGCCGCGUGGAGGAUGACACUUUUCGGAGCGUAAACUCCUUUUAUAUAGGAAGAAGAUGACGGUACUAUAUGAAUAAGCGCCGGCUAACUCCGUGCCAGCAGCCGCGGUAAUACGGAGGGCGCAAGCGUUACUCGGAAUCACUGGGCGUAAAGAGCGUGUAGGCGGAUUAAAAAGUCAGAAGUGAAAUCCUAUAGCUUAACUAUAGAGCUGCUUCUGAAACUCUUAAUCUAGAAUAUGGGAGAGGUAGAUGGAAUUUCUGGUGUAGGGGUAAAAUCCGUAGAGAUCAGAAGGAAUACCGAUUGCGAAGGCGAUCUACUAGAACAUUAUUGACGCCGAGACGCGAAAGCGUGGGGAGCAAACAGGAUUAGAUACCCCGGUAGUC
This 439-nucleotide ribosomal RNA is filed under the name uncultured bacterium. RNAcentral describes it as "partial 16S ribosomal RNA". It matches the Rfam family "Bacterial small subunit ribosomal RNA", at positions 339 to 795 of the family's 1533-position model. The record is from RNAcentral.